ACGGCUCAGUAACACGUGGACAACCUACCCUGAGGUCGGGGAUAAACCCGGGAAACUGGGUAUAAUACCCGAUAGAUCUAGAUUGCUGGAAUGCUUUUAGGUCUAAAGUUCCGACGCCUCAGGAUGGGUCUGCGGCCUAUCAGGGUAGUAGUGGGUGUAAAGUACCUACUAGCCUACGACGGGUACGGGUUGUGAGAGCAAGAGCCCGGAGAUGGAUUCUGAGACACGAAUCCAGGCCCUACGGGGUGCAGCAGGCGCGAAACCUUUACAAUGCUGGCAACAGCGAUAAGGGGACCUCGAGUGCUACGAUACAAUCGUGGCUGUCUAGUUGCCUAAAAAGCAAUUGAUAGCAAGGGCCGGGCAAGACCGGUGCCAGCCGCCGCGGUAACACCGGCGGCUCGAGUGGUAACCGCUAUUAUUGGGUCUAAAGGGUCUGUAGCCGGCUUAGUUAGUCUCUUGAGAAAUCUGGCCGCUCAACGGUCAGGCGUUCAGGGGAUACUGCUAAAGCUCGAGACCGGGAGAGGUGAGAGGUACUUCAGGGGUAGGGGUGAAAUCUUGUAAUCCUUGAAGGACCACCAGUGGCGAAGGCGUCUCACCAGAACGGAUCUGACGGCAAGGGACGAAAGCUAGGGGCACGAACCGGAUUAGAUACCCGGGUAGUCCUAGCCGUAAACGAUACUCGCUAGGUGUCGGCCACGGUGCGACCGUGGUCGGUGCCGUAGGGAAGCCGUGAAGCGAGCCACCUGGGAAGUACGGCCGCAAGGCUGAAACUUAAAGGAAUUGGCGGGGGAGCAC
This 795-nucleotide ribosomal RNA is filed under the name uncultured archaeon. RNAcentral describes it as "bacterial SSU rRNA". It matches the Rfam family "Archaeal small subunit ribosomal RNA", at positions 85 to 879 of the family's 1478-position model. The record is from RNAcentral.